RNAcentral lists this unclassified non-coding RNA (334 nucleotides) under soil metagenome. RNAcentral's name for it is "partial contains 5.8S ribosomal RNA, internal transcribed spacer 2, and large subunit ribosomal RNA". The stretch from base 1 to 120 matches the Rfam family "5.8S ribosomal RNA", at positions 35 to 154 of the family's 154-position model. The record is from RNAcentral.
GAUGAAGAACGUAGCGAAAUGCGAUAAGUAAUGUGAAUUGCAGAAUUCAGUGAAUCAUCGAAUCUUUGAACGCACAUUGCGCCCGCCAGUAUUCUGGCGGGCAUGUCUGUUCGAGCGUCAUUUCAACCAUCAAGCCCCAGGCUUGUGUUGGAGCCCUGCGGCUGCCGCAGCCUCCCAAAACCAGUGGCGGGCUCGCUAUCACACCGAGUGCAGUAGUUUACUCUUCGCUCAGGGCGUGUGGCGGGUGCUAGCCGUGAAACCCCCAACUUCUCAAGGUUGACCUCGGAUCAGGUAGGAAUACCCGCUGAACUUAAGCAUAUCAAUAAGCGGAGGA